This 1403-nucleotide ribosomal RNA is filed under the name Klebsiella sp. RNAcentral describes it as "bacterial SSU rRNA". It matches the Rfam family "Bacterial small subunit ribosomal RNA". The record is from RNAcentral. Lineage: Bacteria; Pseudomonadati; Pseudomonadota; Gammaproteobacteria; Enterobacterales; Enterobacteriaceae.
GGACUACACAUGCAGUCGAGCGGUAGCACAGAGAGCUUGCUCUCGGGUGACGAGCGGCGGACGGGUGAGUAAUGUCUGGGAAACUGCCUGAUGGAGGGGGAUAACUACUGGAAACGGUAGCUAAUACCGCAUAAUGUCGCAAGACCAAAGUGGGGGACCUUCGGGCCUCAUGCCAUCAGAUGUGCCCAGAUGGGAUUAGCUAGUAGGUGGGGUAACGGCUCACCUAGGCGACGAUCCCUAGCUGGUCUGAGAGGAUGACCAGCCACACUGGAACUGAGACACGGUCCAGACUCCUACGGGAGGCAGCAGUGGGGAAUAUUGCACAAUGGGCGCAAGCCUGAUGCAGCCAUGCCGCGUGUGUGAAGAAGGCCUUCGGGUUGUAAAGCACUUUCAGCGGGGAGGAAGGCGGUGAGGUUAAUAACCUUGUCGAUUGACGUUACCCGCAGAAGAAGCACCGGCUAACUCCGUGCCAGCAGCCGCGGUAAUACGGAGGGUGCAAGCGUUAAUCGGAAUUACUGGGCGUAAAGCGCACGCAGGCGGUCUGUCAAGUCGGAUGUGAAAUCCCCGGGCUCAACCUGGGAACUGCAUUCGAAACUGGCAGGCUAGAGUCUUGUAGAGGGGGGUAGAAUUCCAGGUGUAGCGGUGAAAUGCGUAGAGAUCUGGAGGAAUACCGGUGGCGAAGGCGGCCCCCUGGACAAAGACUGACGCUCAGGUGCGAAAGCGUGGGGAGCAAACAGGAUUAGAUACCCUGGUAGUCCACGCCGUAAACGAUGUCGAUUUGGAGGUUGUGCCCUUGAGGCGUGGCUUCCGGAGCUAACGCGUUAAAUCGACCGCCUGGGGAGUACGGCCGCAAGGUUAAAACUCAAAUGAAUUGACGGGGGCCCGCACAAGCGGUGGAGCAUGUGGUUUAAUUCGAUGCAACGCGAAGAACCUUACCUGGUCUUGACAUCCACAGAACUUUCCAGAGAUGGAUUGGUGCCUUCGGGAACUGUGAGACAGGUGCUGCAUGGCUGUCGUCAGCUCGUGUUGUGAAAUGUUGGGUUAAGUCCCGCAACGAGCGCAACCCUUAUCCUUUGUUGCCAGCGGUUCGGCCGGGAACUCAAAGGAGACUGCCAGUGAUAAACUGGAGGAAGGUGGGGAUGACGUCAAGUCAUCAUGGCCCUUACGACCAGGGCUACACACGUGCUACAAUGGCAUAUACAAAGAGAAGCGACCUCGCGAGAGCAAGCGGACCUCAUAAAGUAUGUCGUAGUCCGGAUUGGAGUCUGCAACUCGACUCCAUGAAGUCGGAAUCGCUAGUAAUCGUAGAUCAGAAUGCUACGGUGAAUACGUUCCCGGGCCUUGUACACACCGCCCGUCACACCAUGGGAGUGGGUUGCAAAAGAAGUAGGUAGCUUAACCUU